UUAAAUUUGAAGCAGGAAGUAGUAAUUACUAGUCAUAACAAAUAAAUUUAGGUGUUCUGCUGCACUCACUCACAGUUUUGAUUUCCCAGAGAUUUCUAGCAAGUAUGAUGCAGAAGUCUCCAGACAACAACAGCAGAGCAGUAAAUUCUGUCUCAUAUCCUUUGAAACCAUAAUGGACAAGAGUAGAAUUCCACUGUGCCAGUCCCCUUGUUGAUUCAGUCUGCUUCCUUCUAUUAUUUAACAGGAAACCCCAGGACAAUCAACACAUGGAGAGCAAAUGCUCCUCUCCUUCCCCUCUCAUUUUUUACUUUUUCUCAUCACAGAAUGAACAGGAGAACAAAGUGGAAGGCACCAUGCCAGCUUUAAACAUUCUGAUACUUUUAUGGAUGUGUGACUGUGUUCUUCUUCAAGGUUCUGAGACCAUGGAAAAUGAAAACAUCACUCCUCUACCCAUGACUGGUCUAUUUAAAUCAGUGACUCCUACAGAAACAUCCCAGGAUGCAAAGACGGAAUUCUUAUCUGCACCUUCCCCUACAGAAGAGAAAUCGGCAGCACUAUCGGUAGCAGCAUCUGGUGUUAUCAGCUUCAUUGUCAUUUUGGUGGUGAUUGUGAUCAUCCUGGUCUGUGUGGUCAGCCUAAGAUUCAGGUGCCGUCACUGCAAAGAUGCAGAAGCAGAUAAACAGAAACCUCAACACCCAAUAGUAACUUACAGCUGCUCUGAUGCUGAAAAUGCAGCUGAUAUGAAGAAUGUCUUAUUGGUCUCCAUGAAGGACUUAAACACAAGCACUAGCGAAGAUGGUAUGAAACCAAUGGUCAGCUGUGAAGAAUGAGAAAACACUGUAAUACUG
Molecule: long non-coding RNA, 848 nt
Filed under: Pogona vitticeps (central bearded dragon)
Lineage: Eukaryota; Metazoa; Chordata; Lepidosauria; Squamata; Agamidae
Description: lncRNA (ENSPVIG00000001284.1)
Source: RNAcentral